This 2897-nucleotide ribosomal RNA is filed under the name Robbsia andropogonis. RNAcentral's name for it is "bacterial LSU rRNA". It matches the Rfam family "Bacterial large subunit ribosomal RNA". Lineage: Bacteria; Pseudomonadati; Pseudomonadota; Betaproteobacteria; Burkholderiales; Burkholderiaceae. The record is from RNAcentral.
GUUAUAGGGUCAAGCGAAUAAGUGCAUGUGGUGGAUGCCUUGGCGAUUACAGGCGAUGAAGGACGCGGUAGCCUGCGAAAAGCUUCGGGGAGCUGGCAAACGAGCUUUGAUCCGGAGAUGUCCGAAUGGGGAAACCCGGCCCGAAUGGGUCAUCCUUGACUGAAUCCAUAGGUCAAGAGAAGCGAACGCGGUGAACUGAAACAUCUAAGUAGCCGCAGGAAAAGAAAUCAACCGAGAUUCCCAAAGUAGUGGCGAGCGAAAUGGGAAGAGCCUUGUACCUUUUAGCAUGUGAGUUAGCAGAACGCUCUGGAAAGUGCGGCCAUAGCAGGUGAUAGCCCUGUAUGCGAAAGCUUAUGUGUGGAACUAGGGGUACGACAAGUAGGGCGGGACACGUGAAAUCCUGUCUGAAGAUGGGGGGACCAUCCUCCAAGGCUAAAUACUCGUAAUCGACCGAUAGUGAACCAGUACCGUGAGGGAAAGGCGAAAAGAACCCCGGGAGGGGAGUGAAAUAGAUCCUGAAACCGCAUGCAUACAAACAGUCGGAGCCUCUUAAUGGGGUGACGGCGUACCUUUUGUAUAAUGGGUCAGCGACUUACGUUCAGUAGCAAGCUUAACCGACUAGGGAAGGCGUAGCGAAAGCGAGUCCGAAUAGGGCGCUUUAGUUGCUGGGCGUAGACCCGAAACCAGACGAUCUAUCCAUGGCCAGGAUGAAGGUGCGGUAACACGUACUGGAGGUCCGAACCCACUAAUGUUGAAAAAUUAGGGGAUGAGCUGUGGAUAGGGGUGAAAGGCUAAACAAGUCUGGAAAUAGCUGGUUCUCUCCGAAAACUAUUUAGGUAGUGCCUCGUGUAUCACCUUCGGGGGUAGAGCACUGUAAUGAUUGUUGGGUCCAUUGCGGAUUACUUCGUCAUAGCAAACUCCGAAUACCGAAGAGUGCAAUCACGGGAGACAGACAUCGGGUGCUAACGUCCGGUGUCAAGAGGGAAACAACCCAGACCGCCAGCUAAGGUCCCCAAGAUUGGCUAAGUGGGAAACGAAGUGGGAAGGCUAAAACAGUCAGGAGGUUGGCUUAGAAGCAGCCAUCCUUUAAAGAAAGCGUAAUAGCUCACUGAUCGAGUCGUCCUGCGCGGAAGAUGUAACGGGGCUAAGCCAGUCACCGAAGCUGCGGAUGCAGAUUUAUCUGCAUGGUAGGAGAGCGUUCUGUAAGCCUGUGAAGGUGUCUUGAGAAGGAUGCUGGAGGUAUCAGAAGUGCGAAUGCUGACAUGAGUAGCGAUAAAGGGGGUGAAAAGCCCCCUCGCCGUAAGCCCAAGGUUUCCUACGCAACGUUCAUCGGCGUAGGGUGAGUCGGCCCCUAAGGCGAGGCAGAAAUGCGUAGCUGAUGGGAAGCAGGUUAAUAUUCCUGCACCAUUGUUAGAUGCGAUGGGGGGACGGAUCGCGGAAGGUUGUCCGGGUGUUGGAAGUCCCGGUCCUUGUAUUGGAGAAGGCGCUUAGGCAAAUCCGGGCGCGGAAUUCAAGGGUACGAGGCGAGCUGCUUAAAGCGGCGAAGCAAUUGGAAGUGGUUCCAAGAAAAGCCUCUAAGCUUCAGUCUAACAAGACCGUACCGCAAACCGACACAGGUGGGCGAGAUGAGUAUUCUAAGGCGCUUGAGAGAACUCGGGAGAAGGAACUCGGCAAAUUGGUACCGUAACUUCGGGAUAAGGUACGCCCUUGUAGCUUGACAGGCCUGCGCCUGGAGGGUGAAGGGGUUGCAAUAAACUGGUGGCUGCGACUGUUUAAUAAAAACACAGCACUCUGCAAACACGAAAGUGGACGUAUAGGGUGUGACGCCUGCCCGGUGCCGGAAGAUUAAAUGAUGGGGUGCAAGCUCUUGAUUGAAGUCCCGGUAAACGGCGGCCGUAACUAUAACGGUCCUAAGGUAGCGAAAUUCCUUGUCGGGUAAGUUCCGACCUGCACGAAUGGCGUAACGAUGGCCACACUGUCUCCUCCCGAGACUCAGCGAAGUUGAAGUGUUUGUGAUGAUGCAAUCUCCCCGCGGCUAGACGGAAAGACCCCAUGAACCUUUACUGUAGCUUUGCAUUGGAUUGUGAACAAAUCUGUGUAGGAUAGGUGGGAGGCUAUGAAGCAGGGACGCCAGUUCUUGUGGAGCCACCCUUGAAAUACCACCCUGGUUUGUUUGCGGUUCUAACCUUGGUCCCUGAAUCGGGAUUGGGAACAGUGCAUGGUAGGCAGUUUGACUGGGGCGGUCUCCUCCCAAAGUGUAACGGAGGAGUACGAAGGUACGCUAAGUACGGUCGGAAAUCGUGCUCAUAGUGCAAUGGCAUAAGCGUGCUUAACUGCGAGACCCACAAGUCGAGCAGGUGCGAAAGCAGGUCAUAGUGAUCCGGUGGUUCUGUAUGGAAGGGCCAUCGCUCAACGGAUAAAAGGUACUCUGGGGAUAACAGGCUGAUACCGCCCAAGAGUUCAUAUCGACGGCGGUGUUUGGCACCUCGAUGUCGGCUCAUCUCAUCCUGGGGCUGUAGCCGGUCCCAAGGGUAUGGCUGUUCGCCAUUUAAAGAGGUACGUGAGCUGGGUUUAAAACGUCGUGAGACAGUUUGGUCCCUAUCUGCCGUGGGCGUUGGAUAUUUGAAGGGGGCUGCUCCUAGUACGAGAGGACCGGAGUGGACGAACCUCUGGUGUACCGGUUGUCACGCCAGUGGCAUCGCCGGGUAGCUAUGUUCGGAAGAGAUAACCGCUGAAAGCAUCUAAGCGGGAAACUUGCCUUAAGAUGAGAUAUCCCUGGGAACUUGAUUCCCCUAAAGGGUCGUUCGAGACCAGGACGUUGAUAGGCUGGGUGUGUACGGACAGUAAUGUCCUUAGCUAACCAGUACUAAUUGCCCGUGAGGCUUGAUCCUAUAACC